UGGAGCAUUUGUUUAAUUUGAUGCAAACGCGAAGAACCUUACUUGUCUUGACAUCCACAGAAUUUNCCAGAGAUGGAUUGUGCCUUCGGGAACUGUGAGACAGGUGCUGCAUGGCUUGUCGUCAGCUCGUGUUGUGAAAUGUUGGGUUAAGUCCCGCAACGAGCGCAACCCUUAUCCUUUGUUGCCAGCGGUCCGGCCGGGAACUCAAAGGAGACUGCCAGUGAUAAACUGGAGGAAGGUGGGGAUGACGUCAAGUCAUCAUGGCCCUUACGACCAGGGCUACACACGUGCUACAAUGGCGCAUACAAAGAGAAGCGACCUCGCGAGAGCAAGCGGACCUCAUAAAGUGCGUCGUAGUCCGGAUUGGAGUCUGCAACUCGACUCCAUGAAGUCGGAAUCGCUAGUAAUCGUGGAUCAGAAUGCCACGGUGAAUACGUUCCCGGGCCUUGUACACUCCGCCCGU
This 463-nucleotide ribosomal RNA is filed under the name uncultured bacterium. RNAcentral describes it as "bacterial SSU rRNA". It matches the Rfam family "Bacterial small subunit ribosomal RNA", at positions 933 to 1397 of the family's 1533-position model. The record is from RNAcentral.